GACGAACGCUGGCGGCGUGCUUAACACAUGCAAGACGAACGGAAAGGCCCUGCUUUUGUGUGGUGCUCGAGUGGCGAACGGGGGAGUAACACGUGAGUAACCUUCCCUUGACUUUGGGAUAACUUCAGGAAACUUGGGCUAAUACCGGAUAGGAGCUUCUGCUUCAUGGUGGUGGUUGGAAAGUUUCGGCGGUUGUGGAUGGACUCGCGGCUUAUCAGCUUGUUGGUCGAGUAGUGGCUUACUAAGGCUUUGACGGGUAGCCGGCCUGAGAGGGUGACCGGCAAACUGGGCACAGAGCUACGGCCCAGAGUACUACGGGAGGUAGCAGUGGGGAAUAUUGCAUGAUGGGCGGAAGCCUGAUGAAGGACGGCCGCGUGAGGGAUGACGGCCUUCGGGUUGUAAACCGCUUUCGCAUGUGACGAAGCGUGAGUGACGGUACUGGGUAAAGAAGCACCAGCUAACUACGUG
RNAcentral lists this ribosomal RNA (468 nucleotides) under uncultured bacterium. Its description in RNAcentral is "partial 16S ribosomal RNA". It matches the Rfam family "Bacterial small subunit ribosomal RNA", at positions 28 to 507 of the family's 1533-position model. The record is from RNAcentral.